UACGAGGGGAGCACGUUGUCCGGAAUUACUGGGCGUAAAGCGCGCGCAGGUGGUCUUUCAAGUCAGUGGUGAAAGCCCGGAGCUCAACUCCGGAAAUGCCAUUGAAACUGUGAGACUUGAGGACGAGAGAGGUGAGUGGAAUUCCCAGUGUAGAGGUGAAAUUCGUAGAUAUUGGGAAGAACACCGGUGGCGAAGGCGGCUCACUGGCUCGUAUCUGACGCUCAGGCGCGACAGCGUGGGGAUCAAACAGG
RNAcentral lists this ribosomal RNA (251 nucleotides) under uncultured bacterium. RNAcentral describes it as "partial 16S ribosomal RNA". It matches the Rfam family "Bacterial small subunit ribosomal RNA", at positions 524 to 776 of the family's 1533-position model. The record is from RNAcentral.